This 2338-nucleotide long non-coding RNA is filed under the name Malus domestica (apple). Its description in RNAcentral is "long non-coding RNA (MDOM_LNC006285)". The record is from RNAcentral. Lineage: Eukaryota; Viridiplantae; Streptophyta; Magnoliopsida; Rosales; Rosaceae.
AAGGUGAGCAAUUUCAAUUUAUAGGGUUAUUGAAUUGAGAUUUUUAGUUUUUCAUUAUAUUGGAGUUGAGUUUGGUAUUUUGUUUAGGUUUUAUUAUAUUAAUUAUCAUAAGCUUCUUUGAGAUUACAAGAUUUUCUUGGACACAUUACUGCAAUACAGGAGUUAGAACAAAAAGUGGCUGAUUAGAAGGCUUGAAAACAAGUGUGAAAUUACAUUCAAAAUAUUAGCAUGUUAACAAAUCAUCUUCAAAAGUUGUAAAUACAAUAUUUCUUACUAAUUUUUUUUGUUUAUAUAUUCUACGUGUUUAUACAGAAUUAAAAAAUGGUUAUAAUUGGAAUAUUACGCUUAAUCUUCUUUUGGUAUGUGUUUGAUUUUCUUUUGUUGGGUGUGUUUUGUGGCUCAUCAGAAACAGUUAGCAAGUGAAACCUAUAACCAAAGGCUUAUUUAUUUUUUCCAAAUGGUUUUAAUCUAUUGUAGGUAAACGGGAGCUACUAUGCUGUUUAUGCAGUAAGGUUCACCAUCAGCUGUAGAUACGAGCAGCAUGGCAAAGUUAAAGUAUGCGUAAAUGGCAAGAGUUUUUGCCUCAACUGGAAAUUGUAGCGUGUGUAACUAUACUGGGACAUGUAAUGAGCAGAAAUGUUUAAGUAGCUGUGGGGAGGUAAUAAACAUGUUUACUUUUGGCCUAUGCUUACUCUAGGGUAAUUGACAAACUGGUUAAUUACACACGAAGCUAAAAACUUUUGGCCAACAAACUGAUUCUCAUGCCCUGCCACAUGCUUAAACACAUCAGAGUAAUUGAGAGCUAAUUGUACAAUUUUUAUGAUUUAGGGCUUGCAUUCAUUAAAAUGGAAACACAUUCUAAAUUAGGAUUCAUAACAUUGUCUUACAAAAAUUCCAAAUGGAAAGCAGUCCAUACCUUCAUUAGAAGGGAAACUGAAAGUAUAUAAAUUAUGAAGUGCAUAAACCUCAGUUUUAAAUAUGACAACAUGAUAAUGCAUUUCAGUGCAUAUAAAUGUAGUUCCACAAAUUAGGCUCCAUCUGAAUGCAAUUGGUUUCUCAGCUAGAUUGCCAUGGAUGAAGUAUGAUGUUUUAUUAACCGCAUCUAAUGAUCUUACUUAUGGAUUGCAGGAAGAAGUUAUCAAGUUAAAAGAACAAUUUAGCCAUUUGAAAAGUUUGGUAAGCUCUUGCCUUGGUUUAUGUUCAAGCUUGAGCUUCUUAGUUGGCCGUCAAUCGCUAUAUUUUCAUUCAUUUAUUUGGGAUGUGGUGGCACUGUUGAUGCCAUUGCUAUGAAUCCCAGGAUUUUACAUCUCAGAUUUCACUUUUGACAGUUUCAAAUUGGUGCUUUAACUUUUUUUUCCCCUUAAUUUCGUAAAGUUUAGGCCUUUUCUUAAAAUUUAAAUAAAAGAAAUAUCUUUCUGGUAUUGGUUAGUUUUGAUCUUGAUAUUAUUUGGGUUUUGUGUUAGUGGGGAUGACGGUCUUGCGCAAUGUUAGCCGUUCGUGGCUCACCGGAAAACCCCCUGAUUGGGCUUUAUUAGGAGGGAACUCAUAAUGUAGUAGAUAUUCCUCAAUGCAAAGGUCCCAAUCCUAAUGACUUUAUAUUUGAUAUUUAAUCCUUGAAUUAGUGUUAAAUUCUAUAUUCUUUUUGUUUAAUUUGUGCGUGUUUUUUUUUUUUUUUUUCUGUUUUCCAAGUAUAAAUGCUGCCGUGGAGCUGCUUAAACAAGGUCUCUUUUCGGUUAUUAAAACUCAAUGUUACCUGCUUUCACUUCCAGUUUUUGAGUCUUCUAUUUGUUUGUUUGCUGCAAUUAUUCAACUUAUGCUGCUAUAAUAUUUGUUUCCUUCUGUUUUGUCCUCUGCAUUAACUACCAUUUGGAUCAUGUGAAUGACAACUUUCAUGUAUAUUUCGAAUAAUGAGCAGUUUAUUGCUGUUAAUCUUUUGAUCACUGUAUAUGUUGCUAAUUUACCUUCUCAAACAACGUACAUGUAAACAUUGAUAUAUAAAACUUAUUUAUAUGUUAGUAGUAUGGUUUCUUUACUUUUUGAGUUUGGUUGAACAACAGCAUUGUCUACUUUCUAGAGUUCAUCCUCUUUAUUUUAGCCCAGGCCGACUCACUCCACUCUAUUUGAAGCUCACAACUUUUUCGAACAAAUUGCUCAAAAAUUCCUGCUCUCAAACAUCUUAGAUCCCUCACUCACCCUUCUGGAAUCGACGCCCCAAAGGUAUAUUUCUCUCAUUGCUUUCAAAAUUCUGUAUAUAUAUAUAGCUGACAUGUAUUAAGACAUUCACAUAUGGUAGAACUAAAGGGACGGUAGAAUGCUCGAAUAAUGGAAUAGAGUUGAG